UGUCACUUUUGCAGCACAGAGACAAAGUUGGAACCAUGCAGAGAAGAUUAGCAUGAGAAGAUUAGCAAGGAUGACACUCCAGUUUGUGAAGCUUCCCAUAUUUUU
Sorex araneus (European shrew) is the source of this 105-nucleotide small nuclear RNA. Lineage: Eukaryota; Metazoa; Chordata; Mammalia; Eulipotyphla; Soricidae. The record is from RefSeq and is a predicted model, not a curated record.